RNAcentral lists this ribosomal RNA (483 nucleotides) under uncultured soil bacterium. Its description in RNAcentral is "bacterial SSU rRNA". It matches the Rfam family "Bacterial small subunit ribosomal RNA", at positions 26 to 521 of the family's 1533-position model. The record is from RNAcentral.
AGGACGAACGCUGGCGGCGUGCUUAACACAUGCAAGUCGAGGGGGCUCAGCAAUGGGUCACCGGCGAACGGGUGCGUAACACGUGAGCAACCUGCCGCAGAGUGGGGGGAUAGCCGGCCCAACGGCCGGGUAAUACCGCAUACGAUCGUAUCGGGACAUCCCGUAACGAUGAAAGAUUUAUCGCUCUGUGAGGGGCUCGCGGCCUAUCAGCUAGUUGGCGAGGUAACGGCUCGCCAAGGCGACGACGGGUAGCUGGUCUGAGAGGAUGGCCAGCCACAUUGGGACUGCGACACGGCCCAGACUCCUACGGGAGGCAGCAGUGGGAAUCUUGCGCAAUGGGCGAAAGCCUGACGCAGCGACGCCGCAGUGGGGGAGGAAGGUUUCGGAUCGUAAACCCCUGUUGCCCGGACGAAUCCACCGAUUCAUCGUGUUGACGGUACCGGUGAGGAAGCCACCGGCUAACUCCGUGCCAGCAGCCGCGGU